Molecule: long non-coding RNA, 620 nt
Organism: Octopus sinensis (East Asian common octopus)
Lineage: Eukaryota; Metazoa; Mollusca; Cephalopoda; Octopoda; Octopodidae
Exons: 3
Source: RefSeq, a predicted model, not a curated record
GAGGUUGACUUUGCUUUUCAUCCUUUCAAAGUCGAUAAAAUAAGUACCAGUUAUACACUGGGGGGGUCGAUGUAAUUGACUAGCCCUCUUCCCCUGAAAUUACUGGCCUUGUGCCAAAAUGUGAAAUCGGGUUUUAUAAAUUUUCCUUACGACAGGAACAACAUAGUGUUUUCGAAAAGGACCUUGUUUUCCCUAACCCUAACCCUUACCCUAACCCCUUCACCCUAAACCCUAACCCUCCUCCCAUACACACCACUACAAUAACAAAGACUAAAAACCAAAAAAAAAAAAAAGCUAUGCCAAAAACAAACAAGCAAAAAUAUAAAUAAACAAACAAACUUUGCAUCUACUGAGUGAUUUGAAGGUCCAUUGGUGCGGGGCACGAGCCUAUAUCUUUUGGAUUGUCUUACCAAAUAAAGCCUCCUUUCAAAUCCUACCCACCCACCCACCCACCCCACUAACCAACCAACCAACCAACCUGCUUUUGACCUCCUCCCAAUGUGCAGAAACAUUUCCAACUGAUCAUCCUGAUGAUGAUGAUGAUGAUGAUAACGACAAUGGCAGUGAUGAUGAUGAUGAUGACGAUGAUGAUGAUAUCGGAAGCGCGUCGUAUAGGGAAA